Molecule: long non-coding RNA, 364 nt
Filed under: Zostera marina
Lineage: Eukaryota; Viridiplantae; Streptophyta; Magnoliopsida; Alismatales; Zosteraceae
Description: long non-coding RNA (ZMAR_LNC004021)
Source: RNAcentral
UAAAGGGGAGGAUUAACUCUCCAAGUUUUAGCAUAUUUUAUUAAUUUCAGUGAAGAGCAAGUGGUUGGUUUUCUAUCUGAUUACAUUGAUGCUUUCAAUCAGGUUCUCUCUCUAGCGGACAGACAAUCAUUGGCAAGGGAUCUCGGUCGGGAACGACGUAAAGAAUUCAAUCAAUAUUUCAAGGGAUGUUCUAGCUCUUGACUAGAUCCCAAACAGGAAAGUAUUUUACCUAAAAAUAAUUGCUGCGAAUUUAUAUUGAUUCAGAUCUAUAUCGUGCUGUUAUUUUAAGGUGUACAUCGGAAGAAGAAAAGAAAAAAAUUCCAUAUCGGUAUUGUACAGAUAGAAGACAACGUCUGCGAAGACG